UACGAAGGGUGCAAGCGUUACUCGGAAUUACUGGGCGUAAAGCGUGCGUAGGUGGUUCGUUAAGUCUGAUGUGAAAGCCCUGGGCUCAACCUGGGAAUGGCAUUGGAAACUGGCGACCUAGAGUGCGGUAGAGGGUAGUGGAAUUCCCGGUGUAGCAGUGAAAUGCGUAGAGAUCGGGAGGAACAUCCGUGGCGAAGGCGACUACCUGGACCAGCACUGACACUGAGGCACGAAAGCGUGGGGAGCAAACAGA
RNAcentral lists this ribosomal RNA (253 nucleotides) under uncultured bacterium. RNAcentral describes it as "partial 16S ribosomal RNA". It matches the Rfam family "Bacterial small subunit ribosomal RNA", at positions 524 to 776 of the family's 1533-position model. The record is from RNAcentral.